RNA transcript from Chlorocebus sabaeus (green monkey), 634 nucleotides. It is a transcript of the gene named cystatin-B-like, with no coding region annotated. NCBI's taxonomy places the organism in Eukaryota, Metazoa, Chordata, Mammalia, Primates, Cercopithecidae. The record is from RefSeq and is a predicted model, not a curated record.
AUUUUCAAAAAAUCAGAUGUUCCAUUUCCUUUUUCACUUGACAUUUCAUAGAAACAGAGUGCUCUUUGCCUUUUCCUGUUUCCUGUUGGCUGCAAUUCAAGCCCAGGGACUGGAGUUCCUGUAGCUACCUUGGACUGUGAAAUGACUUUGAGAAUGGAAGUCACAUAUGGCAAAGCAACAAGACAGAAGGAGUGUGGAUGCUUGAAACCAUGAAAUUGCUAUACUGUCUUUGGAGUGACUGCUUCUAUAUUUCUUGAACAUGAAAGAUAUAAAUGUCUAUUUUUUUCUCCCAUUGUCUUACAGCUAAACUUGAUCCUGAGAUAGGAGUGAUUCAGACAGAGAAAGCUGAAGGCACGAAGGCUGACACAGGAAAGCACUUGGCAUCUUGAAAACAUAGCAAGAUUACCCUGAGAUACUUACUCUCUACUUUUGUACCAGAAAAACUUAAAGUCACAGCUGGACCAAAGUUCUUUUCUUCAAGUAGAAAAUGAUUUUGUUUGCUUCGCAAAGACCUACACACCUCAGCUGUAAAGAAUUCCAAGCUGAACGGGCUUCGUGGCUCGCGCCUGUAAUCCCAGCACUUUGGGAGGCCGAGGCGGGUGGAUCACAGGGUCAAGAGAUCGAGAAUAUCCCG